CGUGUCGUGAGAUGUUCGGUUAAGUCCGGCAACGAGCGCAACCCGCAUCUUUAGUUGCCAGCAGGUUAAGCUGGGCACUCUAGAGAAACUGCCCGUGAUAAGCGGGAGGAAGGCGUGGAUGACGUCAAGUCCUCAUGGCCCUUACGGGUUGGGCUACACACGUGCUACAAUGGCAGUGACAAUGGGUUAAUCCCCAAAAGCUGUCUCAGUUCGGAUUGCGGUCUGCAACUCGACCCCAUGAAGUCGGAAUCGCUAGUAAUCGCGUAACAGCAUGACGCGGUGAAUACGUUCCCGGGCCUU
Molecule: ribosomal RNA, 300 nt
Filed under: uncultured bacterium
Lineage: Bacteria
Description: bacterial SSU rRNA
Rfam family: Bacterial small subunit ribosomal RNA
Source: RNAcentral